Long non-coding RNA from Helianthus annuus (common sunflower), 452 nucleotides. RefSeq lists it as uncharacterized. Lineage: Eukaryota; Viridiplantae; Streptophyta; Magnoliopsida; Asterales; Asteraceae. The record is from RefSeq and is a predicted model, not a curated record. The transcript has 3 exons.
UAUGCUAAAUUGUAGUUUAUGCUUGUCUUUGUUACAACUACUGCUGAUUGGUUUGUAAAUUUCUCAGACAAUGCCAGCUAUAUAUUUACCCAUAUGUGUCCUGUGACUUAUUAAGGGAGCCCGUUGUUUUUGGGGAAAACCAUAUCCUCUUCUUUUUCAUCUACACUCUCAAUACACAUAUACAAACCUAGAGACAGAAAGGCGAUGUCGGUGGUGAUGAAGACACCGAUGGUGGCGAUGCUAGAUCAUCGGUAGUCGCCGGAAUCGAAACACCAUCUUUUGUCUGUUUUUGAGCAGUUGAUUUUUGUAUAUUUGCUUGCAUUUUACCUAUUUCGUCAGCCGCAGCCGCAAGCUUUUCUGACGAGCCACCGUCGUAAUGUGUGCAACUAUUCAAGUGGCAAACUUACUCCACUAUGCUUUUACUGCACUGAUGCUGAUGUUUCUAAGGCAAG